CCAUGAUCCAUGAUAAUACGGGCGCUCGCUCCAUCAGUUUUUUCUUAAAAUUCUUGGUUGGUUAUGUCUGCCCAUGAUUUCAGGAGCCGUUUCCUCCACCGCUUUACAGUUAUGGAGUUGCCUGUGAGUCUCAAGCAGAUAAUUAUGCUCUUUAUUUUCUCAAUUCGAUACGAAACUCAGCAGAGAUACCAUGGAUGGUGGAUAUUGUUAUCAGUCAGCAGAUAAUUGCAACUUUGCUCAUAAUCUAUUCCUUAUUCCACGCCUAUAACGUCGACGGGUCUUGCUUGGCUUUCGAACUGGUUAGUCUUCUCAGUCGGAUUUUGCUGCGGUAUUAUUGAUCAAGGGAUGUCUUGAACUUUUGUCAAGAAGUGGUAUUAGCAUUAAGGGAAUGAAGGCAGUAGUGGUCGGUCAAAGUAACAUUGUUGGAUUACCAGUUUCACUUCUACUUAUUAUUCCCUAUUGCUUCUCAUCUUUUUUUUUUUGUGGUGACGUUUUUCUGAUAAUUUCAAAUAUCUGAUUUUAACCUUUACGGGAUUCUGGUCGUGCUUUUGUUGGUUUUUGCUCUUUAAAUUUGAUAUGCAGGAUUUUAGUGAUGGUAAUACUUCUCACUUGGCACCCUAUAUUUGGCUUAAAUUUAUAAUACAGUAAAGUAUGGUUAUCAAUAGAGUGUCUAUUAAGUCUUUAAAUAUAUCUAUGUAUUAGGUGAGCCAAGUACAAAUCUGGCAAUGCUUUUGAUGCAUUUUGGCGUAAUAGAAUGGUUAAUAGGAUCUAUAAUAACGUAUCAACAACCCAUGAUGAUUGUGUUUUUUUAUUACUGUCUUCUGAUCUUUUAUUUAUUACUGCUUUCACUCAGUUUUGUUCUAUUUGAUCUUCCACACAAACAGGCUAUGGACAACAAUUUCUCACUGGUUCUAGCAAUAUUCAGGGUUGAAGUUAGCUAUACUGUCAAGCACCAAACUGAAGAUUUUUAAUAAUUCUGUCCAGAUUAGUACACUGCCUUCAUCAAGGGUUUACAUGAACUUGGACACUGAUAUUGUAGCUGCAAUGUGGCAAAGGCUAUAUUCUGAUGGCUAUGUUGCUCCUGAAAGGAGUCUGUCAACACACACAUACUCUUCCACUAUGGCUACGCCUAUUAAAACUCUUUCACUCAAAGAACUCAGCGAGAAGACAAGUACUGAAAUGCUUGACUGAAAGUGAAGGUUGUGGAGGAGACAAGUGCAUGGUGGUUUUUUAGUUGCAUUGGCUGCGGAGAAGAAGCUUAUACUGUAGAAGGAAAAUUCAAGUGUACUGCGAAAUGCCAAGCAAGUUAUCCAGUUUCGGAAAAAAGCUUUUAGUUUGUUUGAGCAUGUCGAUAAGGUGAUGUGUUUAUGGGAAUAUUUAUAAGGAUGAGAUUCGAAAGUUGUUUCCUGCCGAAGUCUCGCCUGAAAUGCAGAAGCUAUUGACACUUCUUUUGCAAAAAUUCCACAGUGAGUGGCGGGAAGAUAUUCAGUAAAAAUGGGGUACUUUGCCCAGAUUUAAAACCAGGACAUGGGACAUGGCGAGUCAGGAAGAUGAACGAAUGAAGCCUCUUGCAGUUAUCAACUUGGAGGUUAAGGAUGAGAAGAUCUUUCAACAUAUAAGUAUACACAUUAUCAAACUCAAACUGAUCCACGCAUCUUGGAGACUUUGGCAUCAGCAAGAAGAAAAGGUGAGCAUCAGCAAGAAGAAGAAAAGAAGAAGAUGGAGAAGAUGAUGGUGAAAAGCAGGAGCUGGGAUAGUGAAUGGAGAAAGAGCACAUUCCUUGUGGAUGCAAAAGUCUCAGGUGGUGCAUACAUAGUCUUCGGCUUUUUCAUAACAAGCAUCACAAGUAAAAGAGAAUUUCCUGGGCAUCAAUGUGAGUGGGUGCUCAGGGUGACCUUGAUGAUGAAGCACUUUUUCUUGAAAAUCACAAAUCAGACACACAUCAAAUUGACAAUCAUCGCAUGCGUAAGAGAACUUGACACGCUGACCACAAGCAUCACAAAAGUACUUAUCAGGUCGUUUGAGCAGAACAAGAGGGUGUUGGUUGUGUUUUGUGUUUUUCUUUUCAACGGAGUUCUUAAUGGCUUUGCGAUGGUCCGCAUAAGUUUUUCUUUGAUGUUUUUUGUUGGUUUGUUUGGACUGUUUCCACUCAUGAAUAAAACUAUAUCUUCUGAUUUUCUGAACUUCUGAACUGAAGCAGCAUUUGGAUUCUGCAUUUCAAUGUCUGUAAUGAUAUUACUUCAUGUUUCACCGUUUUUAA
This is a long non-coding RNA of Daucus carota subsp. sativus, 2260 nucleotides long. RefSeq lists it as uncharacterized. The transcript has 9 exons. The record is from RefSeq and is a predicted model, not a curated record. Lineage: Eukaryota; Viridiplantae; Streptophyta; Magnoliopsida; Apiales; Apiaceae.